This is an RNA transcript of Thamnophis elegans (Western terrestrial garter snake), 2579 nucleotides long. It is a transcript of the gene named outer dense fiber of sperm tails 2 like, with no coding region annotated. The transcript is spliced from 19 exons. NCBI's taxonomy places the organism in Eukaryota, Metazoa, Chordata, Lepidosauria, Squamata, Natricidae. The record is from RefSeq and is a predicted model, not a curated record.
UUAGUGAACUAUGCUCCGGCGUCACUCGCUCUCCUCCCCUACCUGGAGCAGCUCAAGGAGCCGGAGGGCAUCGGGCUUUUACUAAUCAGCCACACUAAGGAGUGAGGCGGAAAGUUACCAUAACUGGGCUCCUUCAGCCCGAAAAACCUGCUCAAUCUCGGCUGGAGACCUGUUUGGGCAGGAAAAAGAGCAGGCGACCCGAAAGGUGCACUUUGAUAGAUUGGAAAAAUGGAGCGGAUCGUCUCUGAUUUAUUAAAGGAAUGUAUGAAUGGGCUUCUUCGUCACCUCCCGCUCUUUCCCCGGGGAAGCGACACUUGCAAGGUUCCCUGGCGGCUGCCCAGCCACGCACUUGACGGAAAUGAACUGUAUGUCCUAUCUUGCUUCUGGGGAAGCAGAAAAUUUUUGUUGCAUUAUUCAGUCAUGUGAUUCAAGUUUUGUAAAAGAUCAUCUUGGAACAGAAUCAUCCAGCCAACUUGGAAAGGAUUUAUUACAUGAAUCAGUAGACAAAUCAGAUAUGCAUCCCGCAGAAAGUGAAGAGGUUGAAUCGCUGAAGGAAAACUGGAUCUCGUACAACAGAUUUAUGAAUAAACAUCGAAGCAGGAUGAGAGAACCCUUGCCAUCCCUUGAGGAUAAACCCCAGGAGAGCACCUUGGAAGAAAGCCUGAACACAAGUGAAACAAAACGGUCGUGGGAAGAUGCUAUGAAAGAUAAAGUUGCUUUUCAGGAAAUGCUUCACGAGGCAGAGUUGGCAGUUAACUCGGCAGAAAUGUUUUUGCCAUCGUUUAAAGAAAGUCUUGUUAGAAUUACAAAAGCCUGUUGUAUUUCUGCUUCUGAUGAAAUAACAAUUUCUAUGCAAGAGAACUUACUGAUAAAGGAGCUAGAAGCUAUUCAAAAAAUGAAGGAAUUAUUAAGCUGGCUAUUAAAGUCAAGCAAGGAAAAAGAAAUUAUCGGUAAUGAGACAAAAGAUUUGGAUCAGACUUUAUCAGAAAGUAAAGUCUAUGUUGAAAGCCUCAGAAAUGAAGUGAUUCAACAAGAGAAGCAUAUUUUAGAGCUUUCAGAUCAGCUUCAGCAAGAAAAAGCUAAGAUACAAAAAACAUACCGCCAUUCUGAAGCAAUACAAACAGUACAAACUCAUCUACAGUCUCAGGUAGAAAAAAAAGAAGAAGAAAAUAAUCAGCUAAGAGCAAAAUUUCAGACAAUGGAGAAGAAUAUUGCUGAAUGGAAGAGACAGGUUGGUGAAUAUAAGCAGAAAAUUUUGGCUGAAAAGAAAAGGAAAGUGGAACGGAAGAACGCCCUGAAAAGAGCAGCUGUUGUUCAGAAACAAAGAGCUGAACAGAUGAAAAUAGUUGUCGAAAACUUAUUUUCAAAAGUGAAAGAGAAGGAAAUCCAGUUGUCGGAGGCAUUUUCGGCUUCUAAUAUCUGGAAAAGUCAUCACAAGAUCAUAAUAGAGGAAAAAAUCAAGUUAGAGGUCCAGGUUGAAACUUUAAAAAAGCAGACCACAGACCUUGUAAUGGAUCUAAACAGAAUAGAAGAGGAUGAAAGAAAGUCAACAAACAAGAUUAUCCAAAAGAUUAAUUUUGUUGCUUCUGAAAAUAAAAAGAUUUCUACAGAAAAUUCAAGGCUAAAGGCAUCCCUAGACGAUUUGGAAGCAGAUUUUAUUACUGCAGAAGCGGAACUUAAAAAUUUACAUGAACAAGUGCAUCAACAAGAAGAACUGGUUGAACAGUAUAAAAUUGAGGUGGCAAAAUUAGAAGUGGAAGCUGAAGAACUGAGAACAAGAUAUGAAAAGAUCAUGCAUGACAGCAGAACUAUAACAGAAGGCAGAGAUGUAGAAAGGGAUGCGAUGAAGAGCCAAACGGAGGCUCGCCAGAAGGAGGUAGAAUAUGCCCGUGGCUUACAGAAAGCAGCUGAAGAGAAACUGCAGAAGUAUCAGGAAAGCCUACUCUCCUGCCAAAAGAGCUGCGUAGAAAAAUCCAAAACCCUUAGGGAGCUGCAGGCUCAGAUAAAUCAUAGUGAUGAAUUUUUGAAACAGCUUUCCUUGGAGGAGGAAAAUUACAACAUUCAGCUAAAAUAUGAGGAAGUUAAAAGAAAGCUAGAAGAAAUUGAAUUGCAAAACACAGAACUGGAAAAUCAGUUGGUGACUCAAGAAGAUAGCCUUCAGAAAACCGAACUGCAGUUUAAACAGAAACUUACAGAAUAUGAUGCUUUAGCAAGACAGCUAGAAGCUGCUUUGGAAGAUGGAAGGAAACAGUUAGCAGAGGAACUAGGAAAGAUUAAUUCUAAGGAGCGAUCUUUUCAGUUGAAAAUAUUGGAUCUAGAAAAUGAAUUAAGACAGAAGAAAAAAGAAAAGAAAGAGCUAUCCAAAAGACUGGACAGUGAUAUUGAAUUAAACCAAGGGCAUUUGGGAUCAGAUCCCUAACAAAUCAUAAAUCUCAUUAAGACAGAUGGAGAGAAAUUCAAACAAACCUAACUGCAAUCCUAAAAUACACUUCUUACGAGAUAAACAUCAUGAAGUCUCUUUAAAGGAACUAGAACACAGUCUUCAAAGAUCAGAAAACCAAAACCAAAGUAUCCAAAAC